UCCCUGGUAGCUUAGCUGGUAAAGAAUCUGCUUGAAAAGCAGGAAACCUGGGUUCAAUCCCCGGGUUGGGAA
RNAcentral lists this transfer RNA (72 nucleotides) under Bos taurus (domestic cattle). It matches the Rfam family "tRNA". Rfam says of the family: Transfer RNA (tRNA) molecules are approximately 80 nucleotides in length. Their secondary structure includes four short double-helical elements and three loops (D, anti-codon, and T loops). Lineage: Eukaryota; Metazoa; Chordata; Mammalia; Artiodactyla; Bovidae. The record is from Rfam by way of RNAcentral. RNAcentral also lists the same sequence under 1 other name.